Molecule: non-coding RNA, 978 nt
Organism: Doryrhamphus excisus (bluestripe pipefish)
Lineage: Eukaryota; Metazoa; Chordata; Actinopteri; Syngnathiformes; Syngnathidae
Source: RefSeq, a predicted model, not a curated record
GGGGGAUUUGAAGAAGUCCACCGAGAAGCCGAAGUAGCUCCCCGAGGGGCCGCUGUACACAGAAGGACGCUCGGCAUCCAAGUUGAAGGAGCUGCCGCUGUGGAGGAACAAGGACUCCAGGAACAGGAGGGCGAUAGACGGCCAGCCUACAGCCAUGGCUGCUCCGGCUGCCACCCGAGGAGACACAGACACAGGCGGCGGAACGAUGUCAGUUGGCUAGCCGGAAAGCUAACUAGCAAACUGGUUUCACUACAAAAGUUGUUUAGACCUAAGCCACCACCCAAGAGGCAUAACUCAGAGAAGAAAACGCUCGUUUCGCCAGUAUGGAACCAGGAAGACGCCAGUACGGAAGCCCUGGGUGAGGCCGUCAAUUUCGGCGCUGAUGGAAGACGCUCCCCCAGGAUGGCCUGCAGCUGAUGCCCGUGGCUGCCAGUGUUGCAGUGUGUUGACACCUUGGGAAAGUCCACAAAGCAGAAUUUUGGAGCUUCAUCGUGUUCUGGGUCACAAGGAGAGACAUCCCAUAUGAUUCAUAUGAGUCAUCGUUCAGGUGCAGGUCUGUGUAUCGGAUACCCUUUUCCUCCAGGAGACAACCGACCAGAGUGAGUGAAACAGUGGCAUCCAUGCAGACCGCCGGAUCACCUGAAGUCACCAAAGAGGAAGACUGGAGGUUUGGAAGCACGAAGGUGAUGAUGAGGAGAAACUCACUUGCCAGCAUCCAUGGAUGUGUUAGGAGGAUCUGAGCAGUGUCUCCAUUAAAGAAGACAGUAAUGUUGUAAUUGGACUGAUAUAUGGUGACUGUAAUCCCAGUCUGGUCCUGGUGGAGGUCCAAACCUUCAUGUUUUUCAAGCACACCGUUGAUGUCCACAUAGGUGUUGUUCACCUGCAUCACAAACAAGUGGAUCAAACAUACUCAACAUCUUGGGCUUUAAUUCAGUAGACCGGGUGCAGGUGUGGCGCACCUGACCUGUGCCACAAAAA